GAACGCUGGCGGCGUGCUUAACACAUGCAAGUCGAGCGGUAAGGCCUUUCGGGGUACACGAGCGGCGAACGGGUGAGUAACACGUGGGUGAUCUGCCCUGCACUCUGGGAUAAGCCUGGGAAACUGGGUCUAAUACUGGAUAUGACCUCAGCAUGCAUGUGCUGGGGUGGAAAGCUUUUGUGGUGCAGGAUGGGCCCGCGGCCUAUCAGCUUGUUGGUGGGGUAAUGGCCUACCAAGGCGACGACGGGUAGCCGACCUGAGAGGGUGACCGGCCACACUGGGACUGAGACACGGCCCAGACUCCUACGGGAGGCAGCAGUGGGGAAUAUUGCACAAUGGGCGGAAGCCUGAUGCAGCGACGCCGCGUGAGGGAUGAAGGCCUUCGGGUUGUAAACCUCUUUCAGCAGGGACGAAGCGUGAGUGACGGUACCUGCAGAAGAAGCACCGGCUAACUACGUGCCAGCAGCCGCGGUAAUACGUAGGGUGCGAGCGUUGUCCGGAAUUACUGGGCGUAAAGAGUUCGUAGGCGGUUUGUCGCGUCGUUUGUGAAAACCCGGGGCUCAACUUCGGGCUUGCAGGCGAUACGGGCAGACUUGAGUGUUUCAGGGGAGACUGGAAUUCCUGGUGUAGCGGUGAAAUGCGCAGAUAUCAGGAGGAACACCGGUGGCGAAGGCGGGUCUCUGGGAAACAACUGACGCUGAGGAACGAAAGCGUGGGUAGCAAACAGGAUUAGAUACCCUGGUAGUCCACGCCGUAAA
Molecule: ribosomal RNA, 758 nt
Filed under: Rhodococcoides fascians
Lineage: Bacteria; Bacillati; Actinomycetota; Actinomycetes; Mycobacteriales; Nocardiaceae
Description: bacterial SSU rRNA
Rfam family: Bacterial small subunit ribosomal RNA
Source: RNAcentral